RNAcentral lists this ribosomal RNA (129 nucleotides) under uncultured bacterium. RNAcentral describes it as "partial 16S ribosomal DNA". The record is from RNAcentral.
GCAGCUGACGCAGCGACGCCGCGUGAGUGAGAGCUCGGAUCGUAAACCUCUGUCGCCGGGACGACCCCGGUCACGCUGUCCUUGCGGCCGACCCAGCCCCUCCUAACACAACCCCACCGCAGUAUACAA